Molecule: ribosomal RNA, 1455 nt
Filed under: metagenome
Description: bacterial SSU rRNA
Rfam family: Bacterial small subunit ribosomal RNA
Source: RNAcentral
AGAGUUUGAUCCUGGCUCAGAUUGAACGCUGGCGGCAUGCCUAACACAUGCAAGUCGAACGCGAAAGCACCUUCGGGUGUUAGUAGAGUGGCGGACGGGUGAGUAAUGCUUGGGAAUCUGCCUAGUAGUGGGGGAUAAUUUGGGGAAAUUUGAGUUAAUAUUGUAUAUGUUUUAUGGGGGAAAGAUUUAUUGCUAUUAGAUGAGCCCAAGUCAGAUUAGCUAGUUGGUAGGGUAAUGGCCUACCAAGGCGAUGAUCUGUAGCUGGUCUGAGAGGACGAACAGCCACACUGGGACUGAGAUAUGGCCCAGACUCCUACGGGAGGCAGCAGUGGGGAAUAUUGGACAAUGGGCGAAAGCCUGAUCCAGCAAUGCCGCGUGUGUGAAGAAGGCCUGCGGGUUGUAAAGCACUUUCAGUUGGGAAGAUUAUGAUGUUACCAACAGAAGAAGCACCGGCUAACUCCGUGCCAGCAGCCGCGGUAAUACGGAGGGUGCAAGCGUUAAUCGGAAUUACUGGGCGUAAAGCGCGCGUAGGCGGCUUGGUCAGUCAGAUGUGAAAUCCCUGGGUUUAACCUGGGAAUUGCAUUUGAUACUGCCUGGCUAGAGUAUGGUAGAGGGAAGUGGAAUUCCAGGUGUAGUGGUGAAAUGUGUAGAUAUUUGGAGGAAUACCAGUGGUGAAGGUGACUUCCUGGACCAAUACUGACGCUGAGGUGCGAAAGCGUGGGUAGCAAACAGGAUUAGAUAUUCUGGUAGUCCACGCCGUAAACGAUGUCAACUAGCCGUCGGACUCAUUUAAGAGCUUGGUGGCGCAGCUAACGCGAUAAGUUGACCGCCUGGGGAGUACGGCCGCAAGGUUAAAACUCAAAGGAAUUGACGGGGGCCCGCACAAGCGGUGGAGCAUGUGGUUUAAUUCGAUGCAAUGCGAAGAACCUUACCAGCCCUUGACAUCCUCGGAACUUUCUAGAAAUAGAUUGGUGCCUUCGGGAACCGAGUGACAGGUGCUGCAUGGCUGUCGUCAGCUCGUGUCGUGAGAUGUUUGGUUAAGUUCCGUAACGAGCGCAACCCUUGUCCUUAGUUGCCAGCAUUUUGGAUGGGAACUUUAAGGAGACUGCCGGUGAUAAACCGGAGGAAGGUGGGGAUGACGUCAAGUCAUCAUGGCCCUUAUGGGCUGGGCUACACACGUGCUACAAUGGCCGGCACAGAGGGCAGCGAACCCGCGAGGGGGGGCUAAUCUCAUAAAACCGGUCGUAGUCCGGAUCGCAGUCUGCAAUUUGACUGCGUGAAGUCGGAAUCGCUAGUAAUCGCAGAUCAGAACGCUGCGGUGAAUACGUUCCCGGGCCUUGUAUACACCGCCCGUCACACCAUGGGAGUGGGUUGCAAAAGAAGUGGGUAGCUUAACCUUCGGGAGAGCGCUCACCACUUUGUGAUUCAUGACUGGGGUGAAGUCGAAACAAGGUA